UGGGAUAUAGCUCAGUUGGUAGAGUGCUUAUUUGCCUCGCAUGCACAAGGCUCUGGGUUCAAUCCCCAGCACCACAA
Molecule: transfer RNA, 77 nt
Filed under: Marmota monax (woodchuck)
Lineage: Eukaryota; Metazoa; Chordata; Mammalia; Rodentia; Sciuridae
Description: tRNA.Ala
Source: RNAcentral